UAGGUUUAAAGAAAAAGGCCAGUACCUCAGCUUAUGUGAGCUGGAGGGAAAUUUAUAUAUACAUAGACAGAUGCACACCUAUUUUUCAAAAGACUGAGGUUAUGCAUUAAGUUAGUAUAUCUUUCAGCUUGUUGUGCACACAGAAGUAGAUGGAUAAAUAAUUUUACAGAAAUGGCAAAAAUUAUAUCUUCUGACAAUAAGAAAAGUAUCUUCUCAAGGCUCCCGUAGGGGAACAGAAAAGUGAAUACUAACUACUAAAUGGAAGAAUGUUUGAUGCAUCCAAUCCAUGUGACGUUACUGAGAGAUGCAAGGUGCUCUAGCUGCUGUUUCCUCCAGUCGCCGUGCAACUUCCAUGCACCAACACUUGCUGGAUCUGACUAA
Molecule: long non-coding RNA, 381 nt
Filed under: Numida meleagris (helmeted guineafowl)
Lineage: Eukaryota; Metazoa; Chordata; Aves; Galliformes; Numididae
Description: lncRNA (ENSNMEG00000001251.1)
Source: RNAcentral